GAUAAACGCUGGCGGCGUGCCUAAUACAUGCAAGUCGAGCGAACGGACGAGAAGCUUGCUUCUCUGAUGUUAGCGGCGGACGGGUGAGUAACACGUGGAUAACCUACCUAUAAGACUGGGAUAACUUCGGGAAACCGUAGCUAAUACCGGAUAAUAUUUUGAACCGCAUGGUUCAAAAGUGAAAGACGGUCUUGCUGUCACUUAUAGAUGGAUCCGCGCUGCAUUAGCUAGUUGGUAAGGUAACGGCUUACCAAGGCAACGAUGCAUAGCCGACCUGAGAGGGUGAUCGGCCACACUGGAACUGAGACACGGUCCAGACUCCUACGGGAGGCAGCAGUAGGGAAUCUUCCGCAAUGGGCGAAAGCCUGACGGAGCAACGCCGCGUGAGUGAUGAAGGUCUUCGGAUCGUAAAACUCUGUUAUUAGGGAAGAACAUAUGUGUAAGUAACUGUGCACAUCUUGACGGUACCUAAUCAGAAAGCCACGGCUAACUACGUGCCAGCAGCCGCGGUAAUACGUAGGUGGCAAGCGUUAUCCGGAAUUAUUGGGCGUAAAGCGCGCGUAGGCGGUUUUUUAAGUCUGAUGUGAAAGCCCACGGCUCAACCGUGGAGGGUCAUUGGAAACUGGAAAACUUGAGUGCAGAAGAGGAAAGUGGAAUUCCAUGUGUAGCGGCGAAAUGCGCAGAGAUAUGGAGGAACACCAGUGGCGAAGGCGACUUUCUGGUCUGUAACUGACGCUGAUGUGCGAAAGCGUGGGGAUCAAACAGGAUUAGAUACCCUGGUAGUCCACGCCGUAAACGAUGAGUGCUAAGUGUUAGGGGGUUUCCGCCCCUUAGUGCUGCAGCUAACGCAUUAAGCACUCCGCCUGGGGAGUACGACCGCAAGGUUGAAACUCAAGGGAAUUGACGGGGACCCGCACAAGCGGUGGAGCAUGUGGUUUAAUUCGAAGCAACGCGAAGAACCUUACCAAAUCUUGACAUCCUUUGACAACUCUAGAGAUAGAGCCUUCCCCUUCGGGGGACAAAGUGACAGGUGGUGCAUGGUUGUCGUCAGCUCGUGUCGUGAGAUGUUGGGUUAAGUCCCGCAACGAGCGCAACCCUUAAGCUUAGUUGCCAUCAUUAAGUUGGGCACUCUAAGUUGACUGCCGGUGACAAACCGGAGGAAGGUGGGGAUGACGUCAAAUCAUCAUGCCCCUUAUGAUUUGGGCUACACACGUGCUACAAUGGACAAUACAAAGGGCAGCGAAACCGCGAGGUCAAGCAAAUCCCAUAAAGUUGUUCUCAGUUCGGAUUGUAGUCUGCAACUCGACUACAUGAAGCUGGAAUCGCUAGUAAUCGUAGAUCAGCAUGCUACGGUGAAUACGUUCCCGGGUCU
Molecule: ribosomal RNA, 1372 nt
Filed under: uncultured bacterium
Lineage: Bacteria
Description: bacterial SSU rRNA
Rfam family: Bacterial small subunit ribosomal RNA
Source: RNAcentral